Molecule: long non-coding RNA, 830 nt
Filed under: Ictidomys tridecemlineatus (thirteen-lined ground squirrel)
Lineage: Eukaryota; Metazoa; Chordata; Mammalia; Rodentia; Sciuridae
Description: lncRNA (ENSSTOG00000033774.1)
Source: RNAcentral
AUGUGUUUUCAUGAGCUCAUAAGUGAGAAAUGUAUCAGUGAAUCUUCCAUUAUAUGUCUCCAGACCUUAUGAGCUACUUUUUUUGCUGAACCUAUGAAUGUGUUGUGUGGAGUAUAUACCAUGAUUAUAACCAUACAGACAGGACUACUGACUCUGUGGCUGUUUAUGCAGUGCAUUGUCCAGUCCCAUGGCUCUGCAGGUUUGGUAGACAUGGUUCCAGGAUGCAACCCUGGUACUGCCCAGCCGAGAGCUCUGGCUGUGCACAGGGAGAUAAGUGAGGCAAUGAGUACAAUGAUUCUGCAAAGUAUGAACAACAGAAUAUAGGGAUUUAAAGAACUCACGAUGAACUGCUGGAAUGACAAAAAGUCUGAAUUAUCACAGAGAUUUUCCCAAUGGCUUUAAGGUACAGAUGUCUUCUGAAAACUUGAAAAAUGAAUUUUCAUACCAAAAAGAAGUCCUCUGAAUUCAGAAUUAUGUUUUAUAUUCCAUAUUCCUGACAUUUCUCAAUCCUUGCCUCUAAUGCCUACAAAUCACUUCCCAAAAGGCUGCAAUAACAACCUUCAGAUGCACUGCUUGAUGAUGUCUGAAUAUGGGGCUUUCUGAGAGAAAUGAGUCAUAGAAACUCUGAAGAGGUGGUUACUGGCACUCAAACUGGUGACUGGGUAAUGGGAGAAUGACAGGAAAGAAAAAAAGGAGCAUCCUUACAGCUUGAUGGUAUCUUCCUGACACAAAUAAACCUAGAUUUGGAAGGUGGAUAAGAGAAUAUACUGUGCUUUUCUCUCUCUAUGUGUUCAUUCAUCUCCUGAGGUCUAAGGUUUUUUAAUGUAAUU